AGAACAAUGCUGCAGACUACAAGGCCACCUCGUACCCCAAUAUUUAUAAGCCAUGCCCCCUCGCCUUAUCGUGUUAUUCUUUCUCUCUCAGGACCAGAAGCAGCAGCUGUUGGCAUCAUGCGCUCCCUUGUGAUGCUAAGUGUGGUGGUGGGGGUCGCCCUCGGCCAAGGAUAUAUCCCGGACACGCCGGAGGUUCUGGCGGCUCGCAACGCCUUCGUCAAGGAGUACAACCGCCUUGCCAUGCUGGCGGCCCAGGCGCCAGACACACACAUCUACCACGAGCAGCUUCAUCAUCACCCGGGGGCAACCAAGCAUCACCAUCAUCAUUACGGCGUACCCCUUCCCUCCCUUCAACAGCAUGCCGCUGUCAAUGCUUAUAAAUAUUCAGCCAACCUGGGCCUCAAUGAACAUUACGUUCCAGGCCCUAAGACAUUCUCCUCCGUCAACCAUCUAGCUGGCCAUAUGGCAGGACACCAAGCGUUCACUGCUCAGGACGCUCCCGUGGUCCCCUGGACAGGACCUCUAGCGGACACUGUGCCUGCAGGCCUCAAUGGCCAAGUGAAAGACACCCCAGGUGUGGCAGCUGCCAAAGAUGAACAUUUCAAGGCCUUAAAAAUGGCUACACACACACCUACCGGUCAUACGCCCUACACCCACACAUUCCAUCCGCCUGCCUCUCACUCCUUCCAGCACAUCCCCGCCCCCGCCCAAGCACUGUUCCCAGCCCCCGCCCAAGCACUGUUCCCAGCCCCCGCCCCUGUGAAACCCUGGACGGGACCGAUGGCGGACACUGUGCCUGCGGGCGUGGAUGGUUUUGUUAGAGACACCCCGGGAGUGGCCAAUGCAAAAGCAGCCCAUUACCAAGCUUUGGCUUCAGCCUUAGGCUACCAGGGUGUCAACUUUGCGGUUUAACGGCAGGAAUCUUCAGUGGCGCAGUUCCGUUCUCAGGUGAGAAACACUUGGGUGGGGGAGGGGGUACAUACAGUCACCAGGUGAGGAGCCCCGAGGGGUACACAGUCACCAGGUGAGGAGCCCCGAGGGGUACACAGUCACCAGGUGAGGAGCCCCGAGGAGGCAUUUGGUGAGGUGUGUGCAGUCACCAGGUGGAGCCUGGAGAGGCACACACACUCACCAGGUGUGUAGCACAUGUUUACCUCUGUACCUAAUGCUUCUGGGUAACUAAAUCUUUUGUUUAAUAUA
This 1200-nucleotide unclassified non-coding RNA is filed under the name Homarus americanus (American lobster). Its description in RNAcentral is "uncharacterized LOC121871819, transcript variant X1". The record is from RNAcentral. Lineage: Eukaryota; Metazoa; Arthropoda; Malacostraca; Decapoda; Nephropidae.